UAUCAUAUUUGUUUAAAUGCAUUCAUCCUCCACUUUGCAUUACCUUGCAUAUAAAAAUUUUAAAAAUAAAAAUAAUAAAAGAAAAAUAUUUGCCUCUUGUCUUCAUCACUCAUUAUCUUGUCUCUAGUAUAAUGAAUCUUGUUCAUCCUAUCACGCUCCCUCUUUCUAUGUUAGUAUGCUUUGGUUUGGUUACACUAAUCGCUCGAGUGAGUACCUCCAUAGUCUUUUUAAAUUAAGCAUGGUGCUUAGGUUAAAUAGACUACCUUAAUCAAACAAGACAUGGUGUUAAGUUUGAUUAUUGAACCAAACAUACUUGCAUGGAACUUGGUUGCACUUUUGGACUAACCCCGGCAGCAAUAACAUCGAUAUCUCUAUGGGUAAGUCAUGAGAUCAUUCAUGGAGACAACUUG
This 410-nucleotide long non-coding RNA is filed under the name Sorghum bicolor (sorghum). RNAcentral's name for it is "long non-coding RNA (SBIC_LNC016202)". Lineage: Eukaryota; Viridiplantae; Streptophyta; Magnoliopsida; Poales; Poaceae. The record is from RNAcentral.